CCUACGGGAGGCAGCAGUGAGGAAUAUUGGUCAAUGGGCUUACGCCUGAACCAGCCAAGUCGCGUGAGGGAAGACUGCCCUAUGGGUUGUAAACCUCUUUUGUCAGGGAGCAACUCCGGCUACGUGUAGCCUGACUGAUAGUACCUGAAGAAAAAGCAUCGGCUAACUCCGUGCCGGCAGCCGCGGUAAUACUGAUGAUGCGAGCGUUAUCCGGAUUGAGUGGGGUUAAAGGUUGCGUAGGCGGAAUGCCAAGUCAGCGGUAAAAUCGCGGGGCGCAACUUCGCUGCGCAGUUGAAACUGGUGUGCUUGAGUGGGCGAGAAGUAGGCGGAAUGCGUGGUGUAGCGGUGAAAUGCAUAGAUAUCACGAAGAACUCCGAUUGCGAAGGCAGCACACCGGAGCACAACUGACGCUGAAGCGCGAAAGCGUGGGUAGCGAACAGGAUUAGAUACCCUUGUAGUC
Molecule: ribosomal RNA, 460 nt
Filed under: uncultured bacterium
Lineage: Bacteria
Description: partial 16S ribosomal RNA
Rfam family: Bacterial small subunit ribosomal RNA
Source: RNAcentral